This 304-nucleotide unclassified non-coding RNA is filed under the name Hevea brasiliensis (rubber tree). The record is from RNAcentral. Lineage: Eukaryota; Viridiplantae; Streptophyta; Magnoliopsida; Malpighiales; Euphorbiaceae.
UGAUCAAUGGCGAAAGGGCUCCCAGUGGUUCCAGAUAGACCGCAGGCUUGCCCAUGAGGUAAUCUCAAACCAAAAGUAUUUCUCGAUAUUUCAAAGAUUUUGCAAUGACUUGUGCUUCGGUGAUGAGCACUACUUGCCAACUUUGGUUACCAUAAAGUUUUGGAAGAUUUCAAACAGGACAUUGACAUGGGUUAACUGGUCAAGGGGAGGAGCCCAUCCAUUCACGUUUGGGAGGAUGGAAACCACUAGGGAAAACUUGGAGUGGUUGAAGAAUAAUGGGAAUAAGGGAUGUGAAUACAAUGGG